GCUCUGUAAUUUGCAAACCACCAUAACUGACUGGAGUAUGUGCUAUGGCAGCAGUCAUCUUUCAGCAUUCAUAUGUGACUGUCAGGAAGACCUCUAGGAUGUGAUCUGAGGAAGGCAAUGUGUGCCAGUUACUACAACUGCAAAUACGGGGACUGCAAUUCCUCCAUUAGAACUGCCUGGGAACAGCAAACAAUGGGG
Molecule: long non-coding RNA, 198 nt
Organism: Pipra filicauda (Wire-tailed manakin)
Lineage: Eukaryota; Metazoa; Chordata; Aves; Passeriformes; Pipridae
Exons: 3
Source: RefSeq, a predicted model, not a curated record